UAGGAUUUCAAUUUAGCAAAUUGGGACAAGACAUCACAAAUAUGACUCGACAGGCAUUGAAACCAAAAACCUUUAACAGUGGAGUUAAGAUCAAAGAAUUGCUGAGAGCAAUAAAACAUGGAGUCAUAAUUUUAAUAUAGAGACUUCCAAACAUAAAACAUGUACAAAACAGUUUUUAUAUAUCGGAGAAAUAAAUGAUCUAAUUUAAAAACAUGAAA
Molecule: long non-coding RNA, 218 nt
Organism: Lucilia sericata (common green bottle fly)
Lineage: Eukaryota; Metazoa; Arthropoda; Insecta; Diptera; Calliphoridae
Exons: 3
Source: RefSeq, a predicted model, not a curated record